UAAAGCGAGGAGGAGGCAAGAGUGGCCGCCGCUGCUUCCUAUUUCUUUCUAGCGUAGCCGAAAAGAGUGGGAGUGCGCGCCGCGCGCGAGUGGGAGGCGAGGGGGGCAGGCCAGGGAGAGGCGCAGGAGCCUUCGCAGCCACGCGCGCGCCUUCUGGGUCUUGCGGUGUGCUCGUCGCGGUAGCGGGCGCGCGGCGGCGGGGAUACCUUCGCUGCUAGUUGGGGCUCGCGGCAGCGGCGCGGGUGUCGUCUCGGCGGCGGCGGCGGUAGCACCAUGUCGGAGGAGCAGUUCGGCGGGGACGGGGCGGCGGCCACGGCGGCGGUGGGCGGCUCGGCGGGCGAGCAGGAGGGCGCCAUGGCGGCGACCACGCAGGGGGCAGCGGCGGCGGCGGCGGGCGGCGGAGCCGGGGCCGGGGCCGGAGCGGCAGCCGGAGGCCCGGAGGGCGGCAGCUCGGAGUCCGAGGGCGCGAAGAUCGACGCCAGCAAGAACGAGGAGGACGAAGGCCAUUCAAACUCCUCCCCACGACACACUGAAGCAGCGACGGCACAGCGGGAAGAAUGGAGUGACAGCAACUUGAAAAUCAGUCUGUAUUCAAGGCAGCGGAGGAAAAUGUUUAUAGGAGGCCUUAGCUGGGACACUACAAAGAAAGAUCUGAAGGACUACUUUUCCAAAUUUGGUGAAGUUGUAGACUGCACUCUGAAGUUAGAUCCUAUCACAGGGCGAUCAAGGGGUUUUGGCUUUGUGCUAUUUAAAGAGUCGGAGAGUGUAGAUAAGGUCAUGGAUCAGAAAGAACAUAAAUUGAAUGGAAAGGUGAUUGAUCCUAAAAGGGCCAAAGCCAUGAAAACAAAAGAGCCUGUUAAAAAAAUUUUUGUUGGUGGCCUUUCUCCAGAUACACCUGAAGAAAAAAUAAGGGAGUACUUUGGUGGUUUUGGUGAGGUGGAAUCCAUAGAACUCCCCAUGGACAACAAAACCAAUAAGAGGCGUGGAUUCUGCUUUAUUACCUUUAAAGAAGAAGAACCAGUGAAGAAGAUAAUGGAAAAGAAAUACCACAAUGUUGGGCUUAGUAAAUGUGAAAUAAAAGUAGCAAUGUCGAAGGAGCAGUACCAGCAACAACAGCAGUGGGGUUCAAGAGGAGGAUUUGCAGGAAGAGCUCGUGGGAGAGGUGGUGGCCCCAGUCAAAACUGGAACCAGGGAUAUAGUAACUAUUGGAAUCAAGGCUAUGGCAACUAUGGAUAUAACAGCCAAGGUUACGGUGGUUAUGGAGGAUAUGACUACACUGGUUACAACAACUACUAUGGAUAUGGUGAUUAUAGCAACCAGCAGAGUGGUUAUGGAAAAGUAUCCAGGCGAGGUGGUCAUCAAAAUAGCUACAAACCAUACUAAAUUAUUCCGUUUGCAACUUAUCCCCAACAGCGGGAGCUUCAUUGCAGGCCCUGUGUCGCGCUGACUUCACGAUUCUCACAGGCCCGCUCAAUGCGGACAGGGUACGAGAUGCUCACGCUCUCGAAUGCUGCCGUUUGGUGGUGAAGCAGUAUUUUCCAAUUUGAAGAUUCAUUUGAAGGUGGCUCCUGCCACCUGCUAAUAGCAGUUCAAACUAAAUUUUUUGUAUCAAGUCCCCGAAUGGAAGUAUGACGUUGGGUCCCUCUGAAGUUUAAUUCUGAGUUUUCAUUAAAAGAAAUUUGCUUUCAUUGUUUUAUUUCUUAAUUGCUAUGCUUCAGAAUCAAUUUGUGUUUUAUGCCCUUCCCCCAGUAUUGUAGAGCAAGUCUUGUGUUAAAAAGCCCAGUGUGACAGUGUCAUGAUGUAGUAGUGUCUUACUGGUUUUUUAAUAAAUCCUUUUGUAUAAAAA
Molecule: RNA transcript, 1846 nt
Organism: Cavia porcellus (domestic guinea pig)
Lineage: Eukaryota; Metazoa; Chordata; Mammalia; Rodentia; Caviidae
Gene: Hnrnpd
Gene name: heterogeneous nuclear ribonucleoprotein D
Exons: 11
Source: RefSeq, a predicted model, not a curated record